Molecule: ribosomal RNA, 402 nt
Filed under: Bacteroidota bacterium
Lineage: Bacteria; Pseudomonadati; Bacteroidota
Description: Bacteroidetes bacterium partial 16S ribosomal RNA
Rfam family: Bacterial small subunit ribosomal RNA
Source: RNAcentral
UGGGGAAUUUUGCACAAUGGGGGAAACCCUGAUGCAGCGACGCCGCGUGAUUUAGAAGGCCUUCGGGUUGUAAAAAUCUUUUCUAUGGGAAGAAAAUGACAGUACCAUAGGAAUAAGGACCGGCUAAUUACGUGCCAGCAGCCGCGGUAAUACGUAAGGUCCGAGCGUUGUCCGGAAUCAUUGGGCGUAAAGCGAGCGCAGGCGGUUAGAUAAGUCUGAAGUUAAAGGCAGUGGCUCAACCAUUGUAGGCUUUGGAAACUGUUUAACUUGAGUGCAGAAGGGGAGAGUGGAAGUCCAAGUGUAGCGGUGAAAUGCAUAGAUAUAUGGAAGAACACCGGUGGCGAAAGCGGCUCUCUGGUCUGUAACUGACGCUGAGGCUCGAAAGCGUGGGAAGCGAACAGG